UUCGGAUUGUAGGCUGCAACUCGCCUACAUGAAGUCGGAGUUGCUAGUAAUCGCGGAUCAGAAUGCCGCGGUGAAUGCGUUCCCGGGUCUUGUACACACCGCCCGUCACACCAUGGAAGUUGGGGCGCCCGAAGUUGCCUAAGAAAUAAGGUACCUAAGGCGAAACCAAUGACUGGGGUGAAGUCGUAACAAGGUACC
Molecule: ribosomal RNA, 198 nt
Filed under: uncultured bacterium
Lineage: Bacteria
Description: partial 16S ribosomal RNA
Rfam family: Bacterial small subunit ribosomal RNA
Source: RNAcentral